This 315-nucleotide ribosomal RNA is filed under the name uncultured eukaryote. RNAcentral's name for it is "partial 18S ribosomal RNA". It matches the Rfam family "Eukaryotic small subunit ribosomal RNA", at positions 1470 to 1796 of the family's 1831-position model. The record is from RNAcentral.
CCCUUAGAUGUCCUGGGCUGCACGCGCGCUACACUGACCAGUGCAACAAGCAUCCGUCCUUGGCCGACAGGCCCGGGCAAUCUUUGAACGCUGGUCGUGAUGGGGAUAGACUUUUGCAAUUUUUGGUCUUCAACGAGGAAUUCCUAGUAAACGCAAGUCAUCAACUUGCAUUGAUUACGUCCCUGCCCUUUGUACACACCGCCCGUCGCACCUACCGAUUGAAUGGUCCGGUGAAGCCUCCGGAUUGGCGCGCACCUCGGUGCCGCCGAGAAGUUGGCUAAACCUUACCAUUUAGAGGAAGGUGAAGUCGUAACA